RNAcentral lists this long non-coding RNA (292 nucleotides) under Ananas comosus (pineapple). RNAcentral describes it as "long non-coding RNA (ACOM_LNC007500)". Lineage: Eukaryota; Viridiplantae; Streptophyta; Magnoliopsida; Poales; Bromeliaceae. The record is from RNAcentral.
AUACCAAAUGCUGGGAUUCUGCAAUGAAAAACUUCGAAUCAGAUUUUUUACUGUGAACUCGUGUGCUCAACAGAAGCUGACACAAUCACAAAAAAGAGAAAAACCAAACUGAAAAUAUACGGGUAAAAGAAGAUUUAUUAAAUAAAAAAGGAUUACACAUGAUUCCUUUUCUACAACAGAAUAGCUACAAUCUGAGCACUCUUUUUGAAUCUCUCAUAUCCUUCUCUCUUCAUCUAUAAAUCCACAUAUGAAGACAACUCUCUUUUCUCUCUCACAUACAUCCAUGCACUAA